This 252-nucleotide ribosomal RNA is filed under the name uncultured bacterium. Its description in RNAcentral is "partial 16S ribosomal RNA". It matches the Rfam family "Bacterial small subunit ribosomal RNA", at positions 524 to 776 of the family's 1533-position model. The record is from RNAcentral.
UACGUAGGGUGCGAGCGUUAAUCGGAAUUACUGGGCGUAAAGCGUGCGCAGGCGGUUUUGUAAGCCAGAUGUGAAAUCCCCGGGCUCAACCUGGGAAUGGCAUUUGGGACUGCAAGGCUGGAGUGCGGCAGAGGAGACUGGAAUUCCUGGUGUAGCAGUGAAAUGCGUAGAUAUCAGGAGGAAUACCGAUGGCGAAGGCAGCCCCUGGGCCAAUACUGACGCUCAUGCACGAAAGCGUGGGGAGCAAACAGG